Astyanax mexicanus (Mexican tetra) is the source of this 4447-nucleotide long non-coding RNA. RefSeq lists it as uncharacterized. NCBI's taxonomy places the organism in Eukaryota, Metazoa, Chordata, Actinopteri, Characiformes, Acestrorhamphidae. The record is from RefSeq and is a predicted model, not a curated record. The transcript is spliced from 4 exons.
GUGAGGUAGAGAGAGCGCGGGGUCUGUGUGUGUGUAUGUGAGGUGGAGAGAGAGGGGCGCUUGCUGUGUGAGUGUGUGUGUUCAGCUCAAGUGCUAGUUUUAGACUGUUAGCUUGUUAGCUCACUAGCCUGCUGUUAUUUUGGCGUUGUUGUAGCCAACAGUUUUUUGUGACAACUGUAAAAACUGUAAAAUAUCCUUUACUAAGAACAAUGACAAAAAGGACACUGAACCUCACAACAAGGACUCCAUUUCCCAGCAUGCUUACUCACCGGGAUCCCUGACUCUUUAAUCAAUCCAAGGGCGUGCAAGACGUUCCUUGCCAUCAUUUAUUGAAAGGGUCCCAAUAUUUCCUCUUCAUGUGGAUCUGGUGUGGACGAGCAGCCAUGGAGGAAUGUGAAAUGUGUGUUGGCGGGUGGUGCGGCGAGUGAUGACUCCCCCUGUGUAAUUUUUAUGGACAGAAUUUGCAAAUGACGUCCCAGCAGGUGCAAUUAGUCUGAUUGCCUAGCAACGGAAUGUGACUUCGGUAGGAAGAAACGCAAAAAAGGAGCCUGGGACACUAAAACUGGAGAGCCACCAAAGCUGCAAGAUGAAGCCUGGAGGUGACUAACACUUGUUUUGGAGCUGUAAGCUGUGUCAGAAAAUCCUACACUGCUCCUUUAACCCUUUGAACCCUGAGCUUAUUGUGGAGUUGUUAACAUUAAAGGCUCAACAGCAUAAAAAAUCCUUACUUAAAAUUUAAUUUUAAUGUAAAAUGGGCACAGCUAAAAAGUUACAAUGUACCACUCCCUUCCUAAUCUAAACUUUUGGGAUGCCCUGAUCCACAGACAAACUUUUUACACACAUUUACACACAGUUUCUGUUGAUAUACUGAAUCUGCUGACUUGCCACAGACAGUAGUUACAGAUCCCUCUGUCAGAAGAAGUCUGCUGGCUGUGUACUGUCUGAAGUUCUCAACCAAAAUUGAUCAAAAUGUCAGAUUUUCAGCUGAUUUAGUGGGUAAGCCCACUAAGCCAGUGGCAGUUCUAUGCAAGAAGUUUACUUAUUAUGAUGUAAAGUUUUUUGCGAUUGAUUCGCACUUGGAGUGUUAAUAGGGGUACUGAAAAACAAAAGCACGCAAAAUCCCUGUUCGGAUGGGAUUAGUUUCUCAAGGGGGACGUCUACGAAAAAUAUUUCGCUCUAAAAGACACUGGAGCAGAGAAGAGACUCGUGUAAUUACGCUGCGUAGCAGUGGACAAAUAGCUAUUUUAUUAAAUGUAAGGUGGCAAAACUCAGAGAUGUGAGUCCGGACAGGACUAAAAUUACCGGAGGACCACGGAGUUCAGAAAAAAACAGUAGGUAAUUCAGCCUGUACUAUUCUCAGAGGACGUCUGAGAAAAACACGCACAUGGUCAUUCUGGAAGAGAAUAAAAUCACAGAAGACCCCCCAUAAAAGUGAAAAAGCAGUGCUAGGAGCACAUGUGGAUGUGUGUAGAUGAAGAUUUAUACAUGAUAAACUCUGAAUGAUCAGUUGAUGAUGUUUAAAUGUGUGUGCUGGAGACUCGACUCUGGAGAAGGAGUCUGUAAUAUGGAGCAGGACUGGGAGAUGCUACCCUACAGUCAUACACAUGAAUCCUACUAAGCUUUUCAUGUUCUGCAGCAGAGGAGCCUGGCUUUGGUCCUGGAGGACCCAUGAGCAGCAAAAUUAACAAACUGGGUUUAUAUAAACGUGUACUGAUUUCAGAUUUUACUGCUGUUUUUGUUUAUGUGGAAUCUGCUCGUCUUUAUAUCGUUCAGGUGGAAUCACAAUAAUACAGGACAGAACGUUUUCUGAACAUUACAGUUCACAUUCUUAAUCCCUUUCUGGAUGGGAUUAGUUUCUCAGGGGGAUGUCUGUGAAAAAUAUUUUACACUUCUUGCAUCAGAACUGCAAUUGUCUUUCUUAGUCACGUGACAUUGCAUUCAGUAGCUCCUCCAUUUCCACUCGCUGUUGUGUUUAUGUGUAUCUCCAUGGAAACGCGCAACCAAAAUGCAAUUAGGGUGCGUAGCACUGGACAAAUAGCUAUUUUAUUAAACACGAGGUGACGAAACUCAGAGAUGAGUGUCCGGACAGGACUAAAAUUACCGGAGGACCACGGAGUCCAGCGAAAAACAGUAGAUAAUUCAGCCUGUAAUUACUCAUUUCUCAGAGGACGAGAAAAACACAUACAUGGUUGUUCCCGACAGGAAUAAAAUUACAGAGCCCCCCCCCCCCAUGAAAGAGAGAAUUACCCCAGGACCCCUUGAGAAACUAAUCCCUCUGGAUAGGGCUUUAGAAAGUUCAAUCGGUCAAGUUUGGAUGUUCUUAGAAUGUUUUAAGCUUCAACAUUCUGGUAGCAUUUUUGCAACAUGAUUUGUGCCAAUGUUUUCAGUUUUAGUUUUGGAAAGAUUUUAACUUUUAACGUUUAGUACCUUUUAAUGUUAGUAUUUGUCAAAUGUGAUGCAAACCUUUAUUAUGUCAAAUGAGUUCCAGGAUUGUUUUUUUUUUAUAUAUAUAAUUUUAUUUCAGAUUUUUCCCCAUUUUCUCCCAAUUUGGAUAUCCAAUUGUCCCACCCCUUUGUGCGUCCCCAUCACCGGUGACGCCCGUGACAUUUAGAGGACUUCGAGCACACGCCUCCUCCGACACGUGGGAAGUCAGUCACCCAUUUUUUCGAGCUGCUGCUGAUGAAUCAUUGCCUGAGCAGCUAGCGCACUCGGAGGAAAGCACAGCGGCUAGGUUCCGAUUCAUCCGCUCACAGACGCCUCGUGCCGCCCAGCGCCACCUUAAGUGUGAUGGGGAGAGAGCGCCAUCUACCCACCCCAGAGGGAGCAGAGCCAAUUGUGCUCCCUCUAAGCACCGGCAGUUGAUGGCAAAGCUGCAUGAGCGGGGGUUCGAACCUGCGCUCAUAGUGGCAGCCCACUAGACCGCUGGACCACUCGGCGCCCAGUCCAGGAUUGUUUUUUUCUGUAACGUUACAAUCUAACCUUUCUGGAACAUUGCUAAACUGUUUUUUAAAACAUUAUCUGUUAGCAAGUUUGGCACAUUAUAGCACACUGGUACGCUGUUGAAGCUGUUAUGCUCCAAACUGACCAUUAACUCAUAUUUUCAAGCAAUUCUUUGUAGAUUCUGAUCUUAAUCUGCACUGAAACAGUUUAUAUGUACAGUGAAAGUUGCCAAUGCCAACAUCAUCAGACAACUAUUCAGGUCCAACUAGGCUUCAAUUUAGCUGGGUAAGCAAGAAGAGACAAGCCCUGGGUUAAUUAUUUUGACCUCACUUAUGGUUGCGAAGAAAAUGUGUGGGUUAAAUGCAGAUUUUGACCAUCAUUAAUUUACUGUGCGUACAGUGUCUGUGCAGCGACUACUCACUUCUUCUAUCAUCCGUACAGUACAACAUGCUGAAUUCAGAACUAUCAGUAUUAUUAUCAGCCUGUAUAAGUAGUAAUGGGGUGGCUCCUGCUGAGAAACUUGUUUUUUAGAUUUAUGCACAUAAUUGAAAGCAGAAUAAGGUUUGUACAUUAGUCAUGAAUGCUGCAUGUUAUGAUUUAAGGCUGUUUUUUUUUUGCCAGUCUUUCUACAUCUAAUGUCAAACCAGUUUGUUUUUUUAUAAACAUCAUACAGGCCAAUGCUGAUUAUAAUACAUUACAAUACAAUAUGUUUUUAACAUUGCUUUUUCAGCAGUAAACAUAUAAACAGGGUAAACUAGUUAGAGCAAUUGAGCUAAUUGAGUUGAUAUGUGUGCCAAAUUAGUCAGUUAUGCUAUUAGAAUCAGGUUUAUUCUAUUUCAGACAAUUGCGCUAAUUGAUACAGUUGUUUUUAAGUUAGAUACAGUGUAUCACAAAAGUGAGGACACCCCUCACAUUUCUGCAGAUUUUUAAGUAUAUCUUUUCAUGAGAUAACACUGACAAAAUGACACUUGGACCCAAUGAAAAGUAGUCUGUGUGCAGCUUAUAUAACAGUAUAAAUGUAUGCCCUUAAAAUAACUUAAUAUACAGCCAUUAAUAUCUAAACCACCAGCAACAAAAGUAAACACACCCCUAAGUGACUACACCCCUAAAUGUCCAAAUUUGAGCACUGCUUGUCAUUUUCCCUUCAAGAUUUACUAGUGUUACUAGGUCUCAGGUGUGCAUAGGGAGCAGGUGUGUUCAAUUUUGUAGUAAAGCUCUCACACUCUUUCAUACUGGUCACUGAAAGUUCCAACAUGGCACCUCAUGGCAAAGAACUUUCUGAGAAUCUUAAAAGAUGAAUCGUUGUGCAACAUGAAGAUGGCCAAGGCUUCAAGAAGAUUACCAACACCCUGAAACUGAGUAGCAGCACAGUGGCCAAGAUCAUUUAGCGUUUUAAAAGAGCAGGGUCCACUCAGAACAGACCUUGCGAUGGUCGUCCAAAGAAGCUGAGUGCACGUGCUCAGCGUCACUUCCAAAUGCUGUCUUUGAAAGAUGGGUGCAGGAGAGG